Molecule: ribosomal RNA, 497 nt
Filed under: uncultured bacterium
Lineage: Bacteria
Description: partial 16S ribosomal RNA
Rfam family: Bacterial small subunit ribosomal RNA
Source: RNAcentral
GAUGAACGCUGGCGGCGUGCCUAAUACAUGCAAGUCGAGCGAACAGACGAGGAGCUUGCUCCUCUGACGUUAGCGGCGGACGGGUGAGUAACACGUGGAUAACCUACCUAUAAGACUGGGAUAACUUCGGGAAACCGGAGCUAAUACCGGAUAAUAUAUUGAACCGCAUGGUUCAAUAGUGAAAGACGGUUUUGCUGUCACUUAUAGAUUGAUCCGCGCCGCAUUAGCUAGUUGGUAAGGUAACGGCUUACCAAGGCAACGAUGCGUAGCCGACCUGAGAGGGUGAUCGGCCACACUGGAACUGAGACACGGUCCAGACUCCUACGGGAGGCAGCAGUAGGGAAUCUUCCGCAAUGGGCGAAAGCCUGACGGAGCAACGCCGCGUGAGUGAUGAAGGUAUUCGGAUCGUAAAACUCUGUUAUUAGGGAAGAACAAAUGUGUAAGUAACUAUGCACGUCUUGACGGUACCUAAUCAGAAAGCCACGGCUAACUACGUG